UACGGGGGGGGCAAGCGUUGUUCGGAAUUACUGGGCGUAAAGGGUUCGUAGGUGGCCGACUAAGUCAGACGUGAAAUCCCUCAGCUUAACUGGGGAACUGCGUCUGAUACUGGUUGGCUUGAGUGCAGGAGAGGAACGCGGAAUUCCAGGUGUAGCGGUGAAAUGCGUAGAUAUCUGGAGGAACACCGGUGGCGAAGGCGGCAUCCUGGACCGGUAUUGACGCUGAGGCGCGAAAGCCAGGGGAGCAAACGGG
This 253-nucleotide ribosomal RNA is filed under the name uncultured prokaryote. RNAcentral describes it as "partial 16S ribosomal RNA". It matches the Rfam family "Bacterial small subunit ribosomal RNA", at positions 524 to 776 of the family's 1533-position model. The record is from RNAcentral.